UGGGGAAUUUUGGACAAUGGGCGCAAGCCUGAUCCAGCCAUGCCGCGUGCGGGAAGAAGGCCUUCGGGUUGUAAACCGCUUUUGUCGGGGAAGAAAUACGCCGGGCUAACAUCCUGGCGGGAUGACGGUACCCGAAGAAUAAGCACCGGCUAACUACGUGCCAGCAGCCGCGGUAAUACGUAGGGUGCAAGCGUUAAUCGGAAUUACUGGGCGUAAAGCGUGCGCAGGCGGUUGUGCAAGACAGAUGUGAAAUCCCCGGGCUCAACCUGGGAACUGCAUUUGUGACUGCACGGCUGGAGUGCGGCAGAGGGGGAUGGAAUUCCGCGUGUAGCAGUGAAAUGCGUAGAUAUGCGGAGGAACACCGAUGGCGAAGGCAAUCCCCUGGGCCUGCACUGACGCUCAUGCACGAAAGCGUGGGGAGCAAACAGGAUUAGAUACCCUGGUAGUCCACGCCCUAAACGAUGUCAACUGGUUGUUGGGUGGGUUUCUACUCAGUAACGUAGCUAACGCGCGAAGUUGACCGCCUGGGGAGUACGGCCGCAAGGUUG
Molecule: ribosomal RNA, 548 nt
Filed under: uncultured bacterium
Lineage: Bacteria
Description: bacterial SSU rRNA
Rfam family: Bacterial small subunit ribosomal RNA
Source: RNAcentral